CCUCUGCUGGUUUUCUUAAUUAUGUGUCAGAAAUCUUCCCAUUGCCAUUCAUGAAUCUGCUACUUUUAAAAUUUUUUUUACUGCUUCACAGUAAAUUUCAUAAUUUAUCUAUUUCUUUAAUUUAUAGAUACAUAACAUUUCCCCCGCCCCUUGUUAUUCUAAGCAUUAGUGCACUGAACAUCCUUAUACAUAUUUCCUUCACUUAGGAUAUAUGUAAAGAUAUGUGCUUUUUAAAUCUUAGUCGUAAAUGUCAGAUUACCAUUUAAAUGAGGUACAACAAUUUACACACCCAGUAAUAGGUGUGUGUGUGGGGGGGGGCGCUCAUUUCCUCCCAUUUGAGCCAAGGUGGAAGCUAAAUUGGAAUUGCGAUAGCUAGCUGGUGGUCCUCACCUCCAAACUUUCGUGCCUUUGUAUGGUGUCCUUUCCACACCAUAGAGCUGGCCUGUGUGGGUGGUGAAAGUGACUGGUAUUUCUGAGGCUGGGCUUUGGCUCUCUUUGCUCAUUCUUCAGGAAGCCAGUUGCCAUGCCACCAGGACAGUCAAGGUCUGUGGAGAGGAACCAGAUCAGCUUCCAACUUGCCAGGUGUUGAAAUGGACCUUCCAGCCCAAGUCAAGCCUUAAAAGAUUGCAGAAUUGUGAGAAUGAGACAUCCCAAGACUGAACUGCCCAGCUAGACCCCUACUGAUUUCCUAAUAUAUGCAGAAACCAUGAGAGGAAAUAAAUGAUUUUUUAAAAUA
This 736-nucleotide long non-coding RNA is filed under the name Marmota monax (woodchuck). Lineage: Eukaryota; Metazoa; Chordata; Mammalia; Rodentia; Sciuridae. The record is from RNAcentral.